GGAAGCGCCUCUCUGAUCAUUUCCGGAAAUCGUUUUGCAAGGAGCAGCAGAAGGAGCUGGGCUGGAAGAAUAUUUUCUGCCGAGGGUUGGGUGUCACUGCUCCCAAAGCAAGAACUCGUGACAAACCCAUGUCUACUGCCUUGUUCUUCACUCUCUGAGCUUGCUUCUUGACCCGGAUAAUUGGGGUUCUCAUUGAUUUCUUGAGGCCUCCUUUGAUACACGACUCCAAUGACGAGAGUUGUUAUACCAAGAGGUUCCUCUGGUGGUUCUUCUUCUACAAACUCCAACCGAUCUUCUGCCCCAGCUUCUUCAUCAUCUCGCCCUGA
This 326-nucleotide unclassified non-coding RNA is filed under the name Hevea brasiliensis (rubber tree). The record is from RNAcentral. Lineage: Eukaryota; Viridiplantae; Streptophyta; Magnoliopsida; Malpighiales; Euphorbiaceae.